This 253-nucleotide ribosomal RNA is filed under the name uncultured bacterium. Its description in RNAcentral is "partial 16S ribosomal RNA". It matches the Rfam family "Bacterial small subunit ribosomal RNA", at positions 524 to 776 of the family's 1533-position model. The record is from RNAcentral.
UACGUAGGUGGCAAGCGUUGUCCGGAAUUACUGGGUGUAAAGGGAGCGCAGGCGGGAAGCCAAGUCAGCUGCGAAAACUACGGGCUUAACUUGUAGACUGCAGUUGAAACUGGUUUUCUUGAGUGAAGUAGAGGUUGGCGGAAUUCCGAGUGUAGCGGUGAAAUGCGUAGAUAUUCGGAGGAACACCGGUGGCGAAGGCGGCCAACUGGGCUUUAACUGACGCUGAGGCUCGAAAGUGUGGGGAGCAAACAGG